CGUGAAAGUUUUGUUAUAUUUUUUGAACACCCUGUUUCUUUGCACCUUUUUUUAUGUAUAUUGCGACGUGCAUUAGUUUCCAAAUAUAUUAACAAGAUGAGAUGAAAGGUUUUGGAUUUUGCUUUUUGUGUGCUAUAGUUUUCGAGUCAAAUCCUGCUGCAUAUACACAAAUGAUAUUGUAUUAGAUAAUGUUAAGGAUCGUAUGUUUCAAACUAUUAUUUUCCUUCCAAAAAAGUUCCCCUUUGAGGUUUCCUUUUAUUUCUCUUCUUCUUAUGGCUUUGAAUUUGGUCCUUUAGUUCUGGGAAUGCUAAGAGAAAGAAAUAGAAAUGCCUUAAAUGCUAAAAUAUUGAACUUUGGUUUUUUUUUUGAAAGGGAAUUUCUUACUGGAAAUCAAAUGUUUUAUUAUUUAUUCUUAAAAUAGAGAAAAGUUUUGGUUAGUCAAAAGGGUUUUUAUGAUAGGCUCCUGGAUUGUUAUUUGUAGUAGUCUGUUAUUUUUUUCCCCUCUCAAUGCUUUCGUAAUUAUAUAAUCAUCACCAACUUGCUCAUAUGAUCUGAAUUGAUGUGCAGUUCAUUGGGGGAGAUAUAUGGCUGUGGUGAUUUGAUUUGUUCAUCACACAUGAUUUUUACGUUAUUAUUUGUUCUAACAUGGAAGAAAUAAGGCACAAUAAGGUGGAGACAAAGGUGCUAAAUUCAUCACGCAUACGAGAUUUUUUUUAGAUGUAUCUUAAGCAGUUUGCUUCACUACUUGCCAUUAUUUCGAGCCUCCUAAUUAUAGCCUCUCACAAGAAUUACAUAGUCGACAUUGUUGUCACUUGGUAAACAAAAGCAGGAUUUUGUUAUGUUAUUGAAUAGACUAAUUGGUAUUGUUUUGUGAACUGUUAUAUUCUU
Juglans microcarpa x Juglans regia is the source of this 888-nucleotide long non-coding RNA. RefSeq lists it as uncharacterized. The transcript has 3 exons. The record is from RefSeq and is a predicted model, not a curated record. NCBI's taxonomy places the organism in Eukaryota, Viridiplantae, Streptophyta, Magnoliopsida, Fagales, Juglandaceae.